RNAcentral lists this ribosomal RNA (253 nucleotides) under uncultured bacterium. RNAcentral's name for it is "partial 16S ribosomal RNA". It matches the Rfam family "Bacterial small subunit ribosomal RNA", at positions 524 to 776 of the family's 1533-position model. The record is from RNAcentral.
UACGGAGGGUGCAAGCGUUGUCCGGAAUCACUGGGCGUAAAGGGCGCGUAGGCGGCUCGGUAAGUAGGGGGUGAAAUCCUGCGGCUUAACCGCAGGGCUGCCUUCUAAACUGUCGAGCUCGAGCACGGUAGAGGCAGAUGGAAUUCCCGGUGUAGCGGUGGAAUGCGUAGAGAUCGGGAAGAACAUCAGUGGCGAAGGCGGUCUGCUGGGCCGUUGCUGACGCUGAGGCGCGACAGCGUGGGGAGCAAACGGG